RNAcentral lists this transfer RNA (131 nucleotides) under Yamadazyma tenuis ATCC 10573. RNAcentral describes it as "Candida tenuis ATCC 10573 tRNA". It matches the Rfam family "tRNA". Rfam says of the family: Transfer RNA (tRNA) molecules are approximately 80 nucleotides in length. Their secondary structure includes four short double-helical elements and three loops (D, anti-codon, and T loops). Further hydrogen bonds mediate the characteristic L-shaped molecular structure. tRNAs have two regions of fundamental functional importance: the anti-codon, which is responsible for specific mRNA codon recognition, and the 3' end, to which the tRNAs corresponding amino acid is attached (by aminoacyl-tRNA synthetases). tRNAs cope with the degeneracy of the genetic code in two manners: having more than one tRNA (with a specific anti-codon) for a particular amino acid; and 'wobble' base-pairing, i.e. permitting non-standard base-pairing at the 3rd anti-codon position. The record is from Rfam by way of RNAcentral. Lineage: Eukaryota; Fungi; Ascomycota; Pichiomycetes; Serinales; Debaryomycetaceae. RNAcentral also lists the same sequence under 1 other name.
GGGCGUGUGGUCUAGUGGUAUGAUUCUCGCUUUGGGUUUAGGCCUCUAAAAGCACCAACACAACUUGGUACUUCUAGAGAUCCAAAAUACAAGCAUGCGAGAGGCCCUGGGUUCAAUUCCCAGCUCGCCCC